Molecule: ribosomal RNA, 341 nt
Filed under: uncultured bacterium
Lineage: Bacteria
Description: bacterial SSU rRNA
Rfam family: Bacterial small subunit ribosomal RNA
Source: RNAcentral
AGAGUUUGAUUAUGGCUCAGGACGAACGCUGGCGGCAUGCCUAACACAUGCAAGUCGAACGGAGAAUUUAUUUCGGUAAAUUCUUAGUGGCGAACGGGUGAGUAACGCGUAGGCAACCUGCCCUUUAGAUGGGGACAACAUCCCGAAAGGGGUGCUAAUACCGAAUGUGACGAAUCUCCCGCAUGAGAGAUUCGUGAAAGAUGGCCUCUACAUGUAAGCUAUCGCUAAAGGAUGGGCCUGCGUCUGAUUAGCUAGUUGGUGAGGUAACGGCUCACCAAGGCGACGAUCAGUAGCCGGUCUGAGAGGAUGAACGGCCACAUUGGGACUGAGACACGGCCCAG